AAAAGAGAUAAGGUUAAGUUAAUAAGGGCGCACGGUGGAUGCCUUGGC
This 48-nucleotide ribosomal RNA is filed under the name [Mannheimia] succiniciproducens. RNAcentral describes it as "partial 23S ribosomal RNA". Lineage: Bacteria; Pseudomonadati; Pseudomonadota; Gammaproteobacteria; Pasteurellales; Pasteurellaceae. The record is from RNAcentral.